Limulus polyphemus (Atlantic horseshoe crab) is the source of this 1131-nucleotide RNA transcript. It is a transcript of the gene named UPF0489 protein C5orf22 homolog, with no coding region annotated. The record is from RefSeq and is a predicted model, not a curated record. The transcript has 5 exons. Lineage: Eukaryota; Metazoa; Arthropoda; Merostomata; Xiphosura; Limulidae.
CCUCAAUAUCCCAGUGUUUUAUUAAAGCUAUAUCUUUACGCAUGUAAUGUUUUAAUAUUGAAUGGCAGAAUCAGGAAUACCCAUGUUCAAGAAGCAAAAAGUUCCUUUACCCGUUGUUGUCGUAGAAGACCACAAUGAGGUAUUGUACCACAUAUACAGAGCUAUUGGGAAAAAACUUCUUCCCUUCGCGGAUGGAACGAUAAUUCAUUUGGACUCUCAUCCUGAUCUUCUUUUGCCUAAAAAUUUCGACCUCGAUAGGAUAUGGGACAAGCAAUAUAUCUUCAACUCUGUAAGCAUAGAAAAUUGGUUGCUGCCUGCGGCCCUAGCUGGUCAUUUCCGGAAUAUCUACUGGGUGAAGCCGUCGUGGUCACGUCAGUUGGAGGAUGGCAUUCAUCACUUUCAAAUAGGACGGCACAAAAAGACAGGACAAGUACGGAAUGAGAUAAAUGAGGUUGUUGUCCGACAGGUAAGGCUUAGCACCCUAUCGUGAAGAAUCGUUUGUACUGCCUCCUUCUGUAGGGACACCACAGCCCCCUCUCUCCCUUAAUGAUUGAAAGAAGAGGGUGUCUCAUUUUUCAUCUGUGGAACGGGGGGGGGGGCAGCUGUGUUCUUUAUUGAAACUCGUUCGUAGUUGAAACCUGUUGCCCCUGCGACUUCUUCACGUUUGUCUACCUUAACUCUGUACAGUUUUUCCUUGCCUCAAACAUAUUUGUACCAACCUUUCCGAUUUUUGAACGUGCAAAUCGACGAUUUCGCAUUAAAGAUAUCACUGUGUUAUGUUCAACACUGUCAGAUACUUGUUUGAUUCAGCACCUUCCGAAGAAACUGAACUUGAUAAGUAGGUGUUCCUAUAAAAUGUUGUGACUACAACCUUUACGGUAACUCUAUAUCAGAAGAAACUGAACUUGAAUAUUAGGUGUCUAUCUGUAAUAGUGUGACAACAACCUUCAUAAUGACUUCAUGUCAGAGAAAAACUGAACUUGAAUAUUGUGUGUCUAUCUGUAACAGUGUGACUACAACCAUCAUGGUGAAUCCGUGACAGAAGAAACCGAACUUGAUAAGUAGGUGUUCCUCUAAAAUGGUGUGACUACAACCUUUACGACGACUCCAUGUCAGAAGAAACCGAACUUG